CUUAUUUUCUAGGUUCCGUAGGUUUUUUUCAGGGCUCAACCGAUUUUCAUUGAGCACAUUAUUUUGUAAUGUGCACGUGAUGCGCUUUCAUUUGAGACCCCAUUAGAUUAUAUUUGCAUACAUUCGGUUAUUCUUCCUCACUUUAACCCCCCACAACUUUUAAACGACUCAACCGAUUUUCAUCAAACAUAUCUAAAAACACUCGCCCGUAACUCACAUUAAAU
Molecule: long non-coding RNA, 224 nt
Organism: Melitaea cinxia (Glanville fritillary)
Lineage: Eukaryota; Metazoa; Arthropoda; Insecta; Lepidoptera; Nymphalidae
Exons: 3
Source: RefSeq, a predicted model, not a curated record